UCUACGCGGCGACGAGUCAUCGGACGUGGAACCCAGCGUGGAAUAGAAACCGUUCCGGUGAGAGAAAAAUGGGAGGGGAAAAAGGGAAAUUUCUAGCGCAGCGCAAAAUCCCAAAUCCCCAUCUCUUGGCGAGCGGCGACUGAGAGAAGGUUCUCCUCGUCGGCGGCGACGGGUCCAGCUCUUCGUCGGCAUCGGCGGCGCGGCUAGAGGCAGGCGACGGCUCAGGUACCUUUGGUCGCAGGCGGCGGCGCGGCAGGCUGCCGGACGCAAGCGGUGGCACGCCGGUACGGCUAGCUGUUGGUCGCAAGUGGCGGCGCAGCUACCUCUCAGCCGCAGAAGGCCUCGCGGCAAGCUAUUCGUCCGAGAAGUGGCAACCCGCACAACAUCGUUCUACCCUCGACAUGACAAGCGAGUCCCGCCCGUAGACUCUCUCUCUCUCUGCAGUCUUGGAGCCAUCUCAUGUGUGUAUCUAUGCAGUAUGAAUGAACAUAUAUGCCUCUAUGCAUCAGAGCGUGGUGAAUGUGGGGACAUUCGGAUAUGCAGGUAUACUGAAGAAGCCACAGCAGGUCUGAAUCUUGCCGUGAUGCAACUAAACAAUCCUAUAAUCUUGGAGCUGGAUAGCACAACCUUGUCUUCAGCUGUAAAUAACAAGUGUCGGAAAUUCUCAAGAAUUUAGGCCAUCUACAAAAAGAUAAAAAAUCUGAAGACAAAACAGCAGUCCAUAACUUGGGAGUUCUGGGAGAACUAGGAACAUUGGUGUUUGCUUUGGCCAGUAUACCAGGAACUCACCGAACUGGUUGUAACCGGCACAUUGUAAACUCUGGUCUUGUGAAGCAAUAAACUAAUGUACACGGCUUUUAAGUUCUUGAUAUUUUUAAGGAGUGUAAAGCUUGCCCUUCCAAAUUGUAUGUUGUGAUCUAGAAUCAUGAAUAAGAAACAUGUUCGCCGGGAACUUCGUUUA
Lolium perenne is the source of this 961-nucleotide long non-coding RNA. RefSeq lists it as uncharacterized. The record is from RefSeq and is a predicted model, not a curated record. Lineage: Eukaryota; Viridiplantae; Streptophyta; Magnoliopsida; Poales; Poaceae.